UCACAGGCGCCUUUCCGGAAGGAGGGCCCGAAGCGGCGGCGGCGGCGGCGGCCUCGGCUCUGGGAUUCCCACCUUCCGAUCUCUGCAGGUUCUUUCCGGGUCAGGUUACUCGUGGAAACCCGAGAAAUUGCUGUUUAUGUAAAAUUUUGUGAAGGACAAAGUUUUGGAAACUCAAGCAUUUGGGGAGAAAGAAGGAAAAAAAAAAAAAACAACGCCUCAAAACUCAAAUAGAGGAGAAAUCGUUUAUGGACUUGGCUCAUCCAUCAAGAAAUCAAUCAGAAGAAAUAUUACUGUUUUUGAAAACAUACCUAAGUGGAUUGAUUCUACUUUCUUUUUUAUGUUGUGGCCUUGGGAAAAAUUACUUCCUGUUUGAUAUUCAGAUGGAAAGCUGAACCACAAUGGACAGAAACAUGGCCACUAUAACGCUUCCUGGUUAUUACUCAUUUAGUACUUGCAGCAAUCCUGCGGGAUGGAUUACUACUGCUAUCCUCAUUUUAUAGAUUGUUCCUCCAAGUUCCACCUAUGUAGAAAUUCUAGAGCUGAGUCCAGUUCUCAAAAGGUCAUCUGGAUGAGAAUGAAAGCAACAGAGAUAUUGUGUUUUUUAUAAAUUGAAGGUUUGUGGCAACCUUACAUUGAGCAAGUCAAUCGGCACCAUUUUACCAACCAGCUCAGAUGGUGGAAAUAUCUUUUAAUUAAGAAAACAGCUCUCCACACCAGGGUGUAUUAGUAAGAGUGGCUUUCAUCUGGUAACAUACCUGUAAUGCUGCACCCUUCCCCGAAGGCUUGGGAUACCCGCUUGCUUUCCACAUGUAUAUGAUUAAGAAAUUCACUUAAUAAAGAAGAUAUGUUCCAAGUUCAUUAAAAAGGAAAUCCAUGCAAUGGAUUCAAAGUUCAAAAGGCAUUAGAAAGCUUAAAGAAUUGGAGGCAAUUGUUCUUGAGAUUUUGGAACUUACAAAUUGGCAUGAGAAUUGAUGAGUGAAGAAAACAUGAAUGUGUGAAAAAAGAACAUAUCUGCAAGGAUAUGUAUCAGCUAAGAGAAAUAGGAAAUAAUAUCAUCAGCAGAGGGUCGUGAUGGUGUUGGAAAUUUGAGGACAUGGAAUAAUUAUCUAAGUGGGAGACUGAAUGGACCAUGAAGACAGAAUGAUUAAGGGGCAAGGGUCCUCUUGAGGUUAGAGAUUAUGGAGUAAA
Long non-coding RNA from Myotis brandtii (Brandt's bat), 1188 nucleotides. RefSeq lists it as uncharacterized. Lineage: Eukaryota; Metazoa; Chordata; Mammalia; Chiroptera; Vespertilionidae. The transcript is spliced from 9 exons. The record is from RefSeq and is a predicted model, not a curated record.